This 253-nucleotide ribosomal RNA is filed under the name uncultured bacterium. RNAcentral describes it as "partial 16S ribosomal RNA". It matches the Rfam family "Bacterial small subunit ribosomal RNA", at positions 524 to 776 of the family's 1533-position model. The record is from RNAcentral.
UACGUAGGGGGCAAGCGUUGUCCGGAAUCAUUGGGCGUAAAGCGCGUGUAGGCGGCCAGAAAAGUCCGCUGUGAAAACUCGAGGCUCAACUUCGAGCUGUCGGUGGAAACUUUCUGGCUAGAGUCCGGAAGAGGAGAAUGGAAUUCCUGGUGUAGCGGUGAAAUGCGCAGAUAUCAGGAAGAACACCCAUUGCGAAGGCAGCUCACUACGGGAAUAUUGACACUGAGGCACGAAAGCGUGGGGAUCAAACAGG